Molecule: ribosomal RNA, 425 nt
Filed under: uncultured bacterium
Lineage: Bacteria
Description: bacterial SSU rRNA
Rfam family: Bacterial small subunit ribosomal RNA
Source: RNAcentral
GUGGGGAAUAUUGCACAAUGGGGGAAACCCUGAUGCAGCGACGCCGCGUGAGCGAUGAAGUAUUUCGGUAUGUAAAGCUCUAUCAGCAGGGAAGAUAAUGACGGUACCUGACUAAGAAGCUCCGGCUAAAUACGUGCCAGCAGCCGCGGUAAUACGUAUGGAGCAAGCGUUAUCCGGAUUUACUGGGUGUAAAGGGAGCGUAGGCGGUCCUGCAAGUCUGAUGUGAAAACCCGGGGCUCAACCCCGGGACUGCAUUGGAAACUGUAGGACUAGAGUGUCGGAGGGGUAAGUGGAAUUCCUAGUGUAGCGGUGAAAUGCGUAGAUAUUAGGAGGAACACCAGUGGCGAAGGCGGCUUACUGGACGACCACUGACGCUGAGGCUCGAAAGCGUGGGGAGCAAACAGGAUUAGAAACCCCGGUAGUCC